CCUACGGGAGGCAGCAGUAGGGAAUCUUCCACAAUGGGCGAAAGCCUGAUGGCGCAACGCCGCGUGGGUGAAGAAGGUCUUCGGAUCGUAAAACCCUGUUGUUAGAGAAGAAAGUGCGUGCGAGUAACUGUUCACGUUUCGACGGUAUCUAACCAGAAAUCCACGUCUAACUACGUGCCAGCAGCCGCGGUAAUCCGUAGGUGGCAAGAGUUAUCCGGAUUUAUGGGGGGUAAAGGGCACGCAGGCGGUCUUUUAAGGCUGAUGUGAAAGCCUUCGGCUUAACCGGAGUAGUGCAUUGGAAACUGGGAGACUUGAGUGCAGAAGAGGAGAGUGGAAAUCCAUGUGUAGCGGUGAAAUGCGGAGAUAUAUGGAAGAACACCAGUGGCGAAAGCGGCUCUCUGGUCGGUAACUGACGCUGAGGUUCGAAAGCGUGGGUAGCAAACAGGAUUAGAUACCCCGGUAGUC
This 465-nucleotide ribosomal RNA is filed under the name uncultured bacterium. RNAcentral's name for it is "partial 16S ribosomal RNA". It matches the Rfam family "Bacterial small subunit ribosomal RNA", at positions 338 to 795 of the family's 1533-position model. The record is from RNAcentral.